GUGCCAGCAGCGGCGGUAAUACGUAGGUGGCAAGCGUUGUCCGGAAUCAUUGGCGUAAAGGGCGCGCAGGCGGUUCGGUAAGUCGGUCUUAAAAGUGCGGGGCUUAACCCCGUGAUGGGAUUGAAACUGCCGGACUGGAGUGUCGGAGAGGAAAGCAGAAUUCCUAGUGUAGCGGGUGAAAUGCGUAGAUAUUAGGAGGAAUACCAGUGGCGAAAGCGGCUUUCUGGACGACAACUGACGCUGAGGCGCGAAAGCCAGGGGGAGCAAACGGGAUUAGAUACCCCCGGUAGUCCUGGCCGUAAACGAUGGAUACUAGGUGUAGGAGGUAUCGACCCCUUCUGUGCCGGAGUUAACGCAAUAGUAUCCGCUGGGAUACGGCGCAAGGUUG
This 388-nucleotide ribosomal RNA is filed under the name uncultured Megasphaera sp. RNAcentral's name for it is "bacterial SSU rRNA". It matches the Rfam family "Bacterial small subunit ribosomal RNA", at positions 505 to 896 of the family's 1533-position model. The record is from RNAcentral. Lineage: Bacteria; Bacillati; Bacillota; Negativicutes; Veillonellales; Veillonellaceae.